ACGCUCGACACCUACGGAGGCAGCAGUGGGGAAUAUUGCACAAUGGGGGAAACCCUGAUGCAGCGACGCCGCGUGAGUGAAGAAGUAUUUCGGUAUGUAAAGCUCUAUCAGCAGGGAAGAAGAUGACGGUACCUGAGUAAGAAGCCCUGGCUAACUACGUGCCGNGAGCCGGCGGUAAUCUGAGCGGGCGUGGCGAAGGC
RNAcentral lists this ribosomal RNA (200 nucleotides) under uncultured bacterium. RNAcentral's name for it is "partial 16S ribosomal RNA". It matches the Rfam family "Bacterial small subunit ribosomal RNA", at positions 328 to 538 of the family's 1533-position model. The record is from RNAcentral.